GACGAACGCUGGCGGCGUGCUUAACACAUGCAAGUCGAACGGUGAAGCGCCUUCCUUUUUGGUGGGUGUGGAUGAGUGGCGAACGGGUGAGUAACACGUGAGUAACCUGCCCCCUUCUUCUGGAUAACCGCAUGAAAGUGUGGCUAAUACGGGAUAUUCUGGGUCUGUCGCAUGAUGGGUCUGGGAAAGAUAUUGUUUCGGUGGGGGAUGGGCUGGCGGCCUAUCAGCUUGUUGGUGGGGUGAUGGCCUACCAAGGCGGUGACGGGUAGCCGGCCUGAGAGGUUGGCCGGCCACACUGGGAGUGAGACACGGCCCAGACUCAUACGGGAGGCAGCAGUGGGGAAUAUUGCACAAUGGGCGCAAGCCUGAUGCAGCGACGCCGCGUGAGGGAUGGAGGCCUUCGGGUUGUGAACCUCUUUCGCCAGUGAAGCAGGCCUGCCUCGUUUGUGGGUGGGUUGACGGUAGCUGGAUAAGAAGCGCCGGCUAACUACGUG
This 494-nucleotide ribosomal RNA is filed under the name uncultured bacterium. RNAcentral's name for it is "partial 16S ribosomal RNA". It matches the Rfam family "Bacterial small subunit ribosomal RNA", at positions 28 to 507 of the family's 1533-position model. The record is from RNAcentral.